UACGGGAGGGGCAAGCGUUGUUCGGAAUUACUGGGCGUAAAGGGCGCGUAGGCGGCCUGCUAAGUCGGACGUGAAAUCCCUCGGCUCAACCGGGGAACUGCGUCCGAUACUGGCGAGGCUUGAAUCCGGGAGAGGGAUGUGGAAUUCCAGGUGUAGCGGUGAAAUGCGUAGAUAUCAGAAGGAACGCCGGUGGCGAAAGCGACUCUCUGGCUCGUAACUGACGCUGAAACGCGAAAGCUUGGGUAGCAAACGGG
RNAcentral lists this ribosomal RNA (254 nucleotides) under uncultured bacterium. Its description in RNAcentral is "partial 16S ribosomal RNA". It matches the Rfam family "Bacterial small subunit ribosomal RNA", at positions 524 to 776 of the family's 1533-position model. The record is from RNAcentral.